CUUACUGAGACCGGUUUCAACACUGAGAAAGUUAAGAGAAUGGAGGAAAAAAAAAGGAAGGUAAGUGAAGGAACGUAAAGAAUGUAUAUAAGAGAAUGGAAGAUGAAGGAAGAGAAGUACAGAGAAUAUAAGGGUAAGGAAUUAAAGAUGAAGAAUGGUAAGUAAAGGUUAGGAAAAUGAGAAGAAAAGGGAAGAGAACAUGUGAAGAAAGGAAGAAGCGAGAAGAAAGGAAAGCCCGUAUAAGAGAAAGGAAGAUGAAGGGAGGGAAGUAAUGAGAAUAUAAGAGAAGGAAGAAGGAAGAAAAAUGAGAGAAGGAAAGGGAACAUCAGAGAAAGGAGGAAGUGGGAGGAAAGUUAAGUAAAGAAUGUAUAAGAGAAAGGAAGAUGAAGGAAGGGAAGUAAAGAGAAUAGAAGAGAAACAAAGAUGAAGGAAGGAAAGUGAAAGAAGGAAAAUGAGAGGAGUGGAAAGAGGGACGGAGGGGGAGCGCGAGCGAGCGGGAGCAGAGGGAGGCGUGUCAGCAAUGUGGUGCAACGACGAUAAGAUAGAGUACGUACGUCCCCCCAACUCACGCACUAAAAAAUAUCCUUGUUGCACCAUCUGACAGUAACGGCUCCAUUCCAUCACUAACCCACAAACUAACUAAACUAUCUCACCUUUUCCCGUUUCUAUAGACUUAUGGAUACAUGUUAAAGGUAGUGAGGUAGUGAAAUAAAGGAAGGGAGCGAGGUGAGUAAGUCCUGCUGAUUCAUUCUCUCGGCAUCUGGCAUUGACGCGCGUGUGGUGACGUAGGAGGACAGGUUUGUGGAUAUAUACCAGCUCGGCCGCGGUCACCAGCAGAAGCACCCAAGGCAGAGAAAGGGGAACAUGGAACUGUCUCCUCUCUGUUGGGUGCUGCCUGCCGCGGUGGUGCUGGGGCGAGAGAGCGGCGGGAUUGAUCUGUCCUGCCCCCAGUGACAGAUCGUUGAUCCCUCACCGGGGGCAGGACCCAUUCUCCUCUUACCCACCCAGGACGGACUAACCCCUUACGACGCAUGGCGAGGCUCUGACACGCCCACUGCUGGAAGUCCCUGUAGCGGGCCCUGCGUCCGCAUCAAUGAUCGAAGGCAAUGUGUUUCCUUUCUGCAAGCUGGUCUGUCAAGCUCUUCACAACCACCAGGAAAAAAAGGAAAAAAAAAAAGACUGGUGGUGCGGAGUCUUGCAGCCAGUCACGUCUCCGACACUGAAGAUCGCUGUUGUCUGGUGACGGUAAAAGGAGAGGCAAAGAGAGAUUUUUAAUGAGUCUCUCUCUCUCUCUCUCUCUUUCUCGCUCUCGUUCUCUCUCUCGCUGUUGCUUUCGUUUGUCGUCCAGCAGAGGGCGUGUGCUUCCUAACGAAUUAAGGACACGCCCCUGACACCCUCGACUUGGGUCAUAUUCUUAAACAUUUCCACUCCUAAGCGCACAUACUUGACAAGGCUUUUAUAGGAGUGGUUGUCAUUUCCAGUAGUAGUUUGCCCAUUCUUCAGUACCGUGAACCUGAAAAAAAAAACGUACAAGGACCCGACUGAUCUCGCAUUUGGCCUUUGAAAAGAGUUGGUGUGAAGGAUGGAAGCGUCAUGACAACACCGACCCUUGCCUAUGUGCUGAAGAGAACCAUCCACUCCGUCUUCUUCUGGCACCCUCAGACACUCACUCUUACCCCUACGCUGAGUCCAUUCCCCAUUCAUCUUUUUAUUAAUCAUGACGCCUUUGAUUGCUCUAAAGCGUUUCUUCAUUACGAGUUCUCUUGAUCCUCUAAAUAUUUCCCCCCAUCAAAGCUGCAUACCAAAAACUGUGAUAUGUACUGUGCAACUCGAGUUUGUCUCCAUUGUAUGUAUUAAAAACGUUACACUAUGUCGUAGCGAUUAUAUGUCUGUUCUGGCAUUUUGUACAUUCAUGGCCAGUAUUGCUACUCAUUGCUACAGGAAGCUCCACUGUUGCAUCAUUAUAUAGUCUCAAUGAGUCAUAGUGAACUAUUUUACAUGACAAUAAAAACGGGUUUGUUCUA
This is a long non-coding RNA of Eriocheir sinensis (Chinese mitten crab), 2024 nucleotides long. RefSeq lists it as uncharacterized. The record is from RefSeq and is a predicted model, not a curated record. Lineage: Eukaryota; Metazoa; Arthropoda; Malacostraca; Decapoda; Varunidae. The transcript is spliced from 2 exons.